Molecule: transfer RNA, 65 nt
Filed under: Neurigona zhejiangensis
Lineage: Eukaryota; Metazoa; Arthropoda; Insecta; Diptera; Dolichopodidae
Description: tRNA-Tyr
Rfam family: tRNA
About the family: Transfer RNA (tRNA) molecules are approximately 80 nucleotides in length. Their secondary structure includes four short double-helical elements and three loops (D, anti-codon, and T loops).
Source: RNAcentral
GAUUAAAUGGCUGAAGUUUAGGCGUUAGAUUGUAAAUCUAUUUAUGAGAAUUAUCUCUUUAAUCA